GACGAACGCUGGCGGCGUGCUUAACACAUGCAAGUCAAACGGAAAGGCCCUGCUUUUGUGGGGUGCUCGAGUGGCGAACGGGUGAGUAACACGUGAGUAACCUGCCCUUGACUUUGGGAUAACUUUAGGAAACUGGGGCUAAUACCGGAUAGGAGCUCCUGCUGCAUGGUGGGGGUUGGAAAGUUUCGGCGGUUGGGGCUGGACUCGCGGCUUAUCAGCUUGUUUGUGGGGUAGUGGCUUACCAAGUCUUUGACUGGUAGCCGGCCUGAGAGGGUGACCGGCCACAUUGGGACUGCGGUACGGCGCAGAAUCCUACGGUAGGCAGUAGUGGAGAGUAUUGCAGAAUGAGCGGAAGCCUGAUACGGCGACGCCGGGUGCGGGAUGCCGGCCUUCUGGUUAUAAACCGCUUUCGCCUGUGACGAAGCGUGCGUGACGGUAAUGGGUAAAGAAGCACCGGCUAACUACGUG
Molecule: ribosomal RNA, 468 nt
Filed under: uncultured bacterium
Lineage: Bacteria
Description: partial 16S ribosomal RNA
Rfam family: Bacterial small subunit ribosomal RNA
Source: RNAcentral